RNAcentral lists this long non-coding RNA (206 nucleotides) under Setaria italica (foxtail millet). Its description in RNAcentral is "long non-coding RNA (SITA_LNC006681)". The record is from RNAcentral. Lineage: Eukaryota; Viridiplantae; Streptophyta; Magnoliopsida; Poales; Poaceae.
GGGGGCCCUGAGACGGGGGGACUCUGAAGCCAAUAGAACACACACUCUCCUCUAGAGCAUCAGUGCACACCCAAGAGACUUGGGACCGCUCCCUCUCUCGCCUACCUGUAACCCCUACUACAGACCCCGCGUGGGCAACGCGAGCAGCUCCCGAUACUGGACGUAGGGCUUUCCUUGCCUGAACCAAUCUAAUCCCGUGUCUUCCC